RNAcentral lists this ribosomal RNA (791 nucleotides) under uncultured bacterium. Its description in RNAcentral is "bacterial SSU rRNA". It matches the Rfam family "Bacterial small subunit ribosomal RNA", at positions 8 to 796 of the family's 1533-position model. The record is from RNAcentral.
AGAGUUUGAUCAUGGCUCAGAUUGAACGCUGGCGGCAUGCCUUACACAUGCAAGUCGAACGGCAGCACGGACUUCGGUCGGGUGGCGAGUGGCGAACGGGUGAGUAAUACAUCGGAACGUGUCCUGGAGUGGGGGAUAGCCCGGCGAAAGCCGGAUUAAUACCGCAUACGCUCUGAGGAGGAAAGCGGGGGAUCUUCGGACCUCGCGCUCAAGGGGCGGCCGAUGGCAGAUUAGCUAGUUGGUGGGGUAAAGGCCUACCAAGGCGACGAUCUGUAGCUGGUCUGAGAGGACGACCAGCCACACUGGGACUGAGACACGGCCCAGACUCCUACGGGAGGCAGCAGUGGGGAAUUUUGGACAAUGGGCGCAAGCCUGAUCCAGCAAUGCCGCGUGUGUGAAGAAGGCCUUCGGGUUGUAAAGCACUUUUGUCCGGAAAGAAAACCUUUGCCCUAAUACGGCGGGGGGAUGACGGUACCGGAAGAAUAAGCACCGGCUAACUACGUGCCAGCAGCCGCGGUAAUACGUAGGGUGCAAGCGUUAAUCGGAAUUACUGGGCGUAAAGCGUGCGCAGGCGGUCCGUUAAGACAGAUGUGAAAUCCCCGGGCUUAACCUGGGAACUGCAUUUGUGACUGGCGGACUCGAGUAUGGCAGAGGGGGGUAGAAUUCCACGUAGCAGUGAAAUGCGUAGAGAUGUGGAGGAAUACCGAUGGCGAAGGCAGCCCCCUGGGCCAAUACUGACGCUCAUGCACGAAAGCGUGGGGANNAANNAGGAUUAGAUACCCNNGUAGUCC